GACAGAGGUCCCGAGCGUUAGGCGGAAUCACUGGGCUUAAAGCGUGUGUAGGCGGAUCGUUAAGUACCUUGUGAAAUCCCACGGCUUAACCGUGGAACUGCUUGGUAUACUGGCGGUCUUGAGCCACUUAGGGGCUACCGGAACAAAUGGUGGAGCGGUGAAAUGCGUAGAUAUUCGCAAGAACACCAGUGGCGAAGGCGGCUCACUGGCCCGAUACUGACGCUGAGGUGCGAAAGCGUGGGGAGCAAACAGG
Molecule: ribosomal RNA, 253 nt
Filed under: uncultured bacterium
Lineage: Bacteria
Description: partial 16S ribosomal RNA
Rfam family: Bacterial small subunit ribosomal RNA
Source: RNAcentral